GACGAACGCUGGCGGCGUGCUUAACACAUGCCAGUCGAACGGAAAGGCCCUGCUUUUGUGGGGUGCUCGAGUGGCGAACGGGUGAGUAACACGUGAGUAACCUGCCCUUGACUUUGGGAUAACUUCAGGAAACUGGGGCUAAUACCGGAUAGGAGCUCCUGCUGCAUGGUGGGGGUUGGAAAGUUUCGGCGGUUGGGGAUGGACUCGCGGCUUAUCAGCUUGUUGGUGGGGUAGUGGCUUACCAAGGCUUUGACGGGUAGCCGGCCUGAGAGGGUGACCGGCCACAUUGGGACUGAGAUACGGCCCAGACUCCUACGGGAGGCAGCAGUGGGGAAUAUUGCACAAUGGGCGGAAGCCUGAUGCAGCAACGCCGCGUGCGGGAUGACGGCCUUCGGGUUGUAAACCGAUUUCGCCUGUGACGAAGCGUGAGUGACGGUAAUGGGUAAAGAAGCACCGGCUAACUACGUG
Molecule: ribosomal RNA, 468 nt
Filed under: uncultured bacterium
Lineage: Bacteria
Description: partial 16S ribosomal RNA
Rfam family: Bacterial small subunit ribosomal RNA
Source: RNAcentral